AUGAGUCGGUUUGAUCUCUCUGCCAUGUUCCUGCAGGCUGUGGCGGCCAUAUUGGUUUAUGAACUGCAGACAGAGCGGGGUGAGGAGGGACAUUCUGGACAGACGUUCUGCAGGGAGCGGGGUGAGGAGGGAUGUUCUGGACAGACGUUCUGCAGGGAGCAGGGUGAGGAGGGACGUUCUGAACAGACGCUCUGGAGGGAGCGGGGUGAGGAGGGACGUUCUGGACAGACGCUCUGGAGGGAGCGGGGUGAGGAGGGACGUUCUGGACAGACGCUCUGGAGGGAGCGGGGUGAGGAGGGACGUUCUGGACAGACGCUCUGGAGGGAGCGGGGUGAGGAGGGACGUUCUGGACAGACGCUCUGCAGGGAGCGGGGUGAGGAGGGACGUUCUGGACAGACGCUCUGGAGGGAGCGGGGUGAGGAGGGACGUUCUGGACAGACGUUCUGCAGGGAGCGGGGUGAGGAGGGACGUUCUGGACAGACGUUCUGCAGGGAGCAGGGUGAGGAGGGACGUUCUGAACAGACGCUCUGGAGGGAGCGGGGUGAGGAGGGACGUUCUGGACAGACGCUCUGCAGGGAGCGGGGUGAGGAGGGACGUUCUGGACAGACGCUCUGCAGGGAGCGGGGUGAGGAGGGACGUUCUGGACAGACGCUCUGGAGGGAGCGGGGUGAGGAGGGACGUUCUGGACAGACGCUCUGCAGGGAGCGGGGUGAGGAGGGACGUUCUGGACAGACGCUCUGCAGGGAGCGGGGUGAGGAGGGACGUUCUGGACAGACGCUCUGGAGGGAGCGGGGUGAGGAGGGACGUUCUGGACAGACGCUCUGGAGGGAGCGGGGUGAGGAGGGACGUUCUGGACAGACGUUCUGCAGGGAGCGGGGUGAGGAGGGACGUUCUGGACAGACGCUCUGGAGGGAGCGGGGUGAGGAGGGACGUUCUGGACAGACGUUCUGGAGGGAGCGGGGUGAGGAGGGACGUUCUGGACAGACGUUCUGCAGGGAGCGGGGUGAGGAGGGACGUUCUGGACAGACGCUCUGGAGGGAGCGGGGUGAGGAGGGACGUUCUGGACAGACGUUCUGCAGGGAGCGGGGUGAGGAGGGACGUUCUGGACAGACGUUCUGCAGGGAGCGGGGUGAGGAGGGACGUUCUGGACAGACGUUCUGCAGGGAGCGGGGUGAGGAGGGACGUUCUGGACAGACGUUCUGGAGGGAGCGGGGUGAGGAGGGACGUUCUGGACAGACGCUCUGGAGGGAGCGGGGUGAGGAGGGACGUUCUGGGUUCCUGUCGGCGUUCGGCUGCAGAGUUUUGUCGUUCUGGAGUUCAUUAAAAGUCGUGUUAGAACCCGGAGAACGAGGACGCAGUACCCAGCACUUCCUGAAGAUCGGUUCAGGACAGACUCUGACGUUCUGCUGA
This 1410-nucleotide long non-coding RNA is filed under the name Salarias fasciatus (jewelled blenny). RNAcentral describes it as "lncRNA (ENSSFAG00005006354.1)". Lineage: Eukaryota; Metazoa; Chordata; Actinopteri; Blenniiformes; Blenniidae. The record is from RNAcentral.